GAGCACGAAGAAGCUGACGAUGAGCAGGAAGGAGAUGAAGUAGAGCAGCAUCCAGGGGUUGUGGUUCUGCACGGGCUGCAGCACACAAGAAGGUCACCCAUGAGAAUGGUCCCAGCCUUGCUCACCUGCUGGUCGAUGCCCACGGCAUCCAGCCCAUCAUACAUGAUGUUUACCCAGCCAUCCUUAGAUGACAGCACGAACAGAGACAUCAGCGCCUGUGUGGGAGGGUAAGGGUCACUGGAAGGGUUAAGGACGGUAACCAUAUCCCCCGCACAAGUGGUCACCUCUGUGGCCACACCGCACACCACCCGUACCUACCUGACCCAGGUUGUCAAAGUUGUAUUUGCGCCUCACCCAGCGGUAGUGGGCAGCAUGGCACUCGGCCUUGGUGGUGAUAUUCCUGGUAUCUGUGCCCUCGCAGUAGUAGAAUUUGCCCUUGAAAAGCUGACCGGAAGGGGUUGUUACUCAAGAGAGCCUGGCACAACCGCUGGCCCACAGACCUGCCUACCUUAGGCCUCUUAAGAUUCCAAACUAGAGGUGCUGACCACCCAACCGGGGAGGACAGGACCCAUCCCACCAGUGGGGAGCAGAGGCCCAGGGUGGGGCAGACCUUGGGCAAGCCAGGGCCACACACCUGCACCCCGAGGAUGCCAAAGAUGAUGAAGAAGGCGCAGCAUAUGAGGACGAUGUUCCCAAUGGGCCUGAGCGAGGAUAUCAGAGUCUCUACAACCAGCUUGAGGCCCGGAGCUCGGCUGAUGACCCUGCACCCAGGCAGAGGGGAUCUAAGAGGGCGACCAGUGGGCAGAAGCGAUGGUUCAUGCAAGGCCCCCCCAGGGUGAUGUGAACGUGUGGCUGGAGAGCCACACAGUUGGGCAGAGGUGGGGGUGGGCUUCUGGGUCCUUCCUGGACGUAUAUGGGUGGCCCCUGCCCCCUACACCCCACCUCAGAGGCCUCAGGGUCCGCAGCAGGCGUAGCACACGCAGGACGCCUAGGAUCUUGGCACCGCCAGCUGAGGCCAUGGCCACGAUGAUGUCAACCAGGGACACCAGGACAAGCAGCCCAUCCAGCACAUUCCAACUGCUCUGUAGGUAGGCAUGUUCACCCCACAGCAGUCCCAGGGCUACCACCUGGGGGAGGGGCAGUCAUGUAAAGGUUUGGCAGAGAGCCCCAGGACAGGGCAGUUUGGGACGGAGACCCAAGCAUGGAGGGGAACAUCAGUACCUUCACCAUCAUCUCCACCACGAAGAUGGCUGUGAAGAUGUAGUUGGAGACGCUGAGGAAGGCCCGCUCCUGCAGGGAGAGACCAGCGGGAGGUCCACGUCCACCUCACCCUGUCCCACCCAGAGGGCCAGCUUGCCUUCGGAGACUCACAGUGCUGCCUGGGUCAAUGUCUGGCCUCUCCAGGGCAAUGGUGAUACAGUUGAGGAAGAUGAAGACAAGGACCACGUGGUCAAACAUCUUGUGUGCGAUGACUUUCUGGCAGGAGACGCGUAGCCUGAGAGGCAGCUCCUGACGCUGAGGGGCUUGGCCCCCGAUGGGCAGUAACUCCUAACCUGGGACAAACUUGAAGUUGGACCCCUGCCCUGGCUGGCCUGCUCCCUUCCCUUCUGAGUCACCAUGAAUAAUACCCUGAAUGCCUGCCUCAAAUUCUGCUCUGAAGAGCCAGCCCCG
Molecule: long non-coding RNA, 1671 nt
Organism: Rattus rattus (black rat)
Lineage: Eukaryota; Metazoa; Chordata; Mammalia; Rodentia; Muridae
Exons: 3
Source: RefSeq, a predicted model, not a curated record